Molecule: long non-coding RNA, 2144 nt
Filed under: Xyrichtys novacula (pearly razorfish)
Lineage: Eukaryota; Metazoa; Chordata; Actinopteri; Labriformes; Labridae
Source: RNAcentral
CUUUGGACCUUGAGUGUGACGCGAUCGGGUGGGGGAGGCGGUCGUGCUGGGGGCGGCGUGACACGGCUCGGGCCCGCCAGUGCCCCAACGGGGCCCUAGUUCUUCUUUUUCCUCCCCUUUGAACUGGAAAAUGGCCCACUUCCCACUGGCGAAAACUCAUGAAAUUUGGCAGGACGACCGGGCCUGGUGAAAAAUUUUAUAUUCUGAAGUCGCCCAAACAAUAAAAUGCAAAAUGGCUCCAUAGCGCCCCCUAAGGUGGAAAUUCACACUAUUGACUGUCACGCCUGUACGCUUUGUCAUAUUGACACAAAAAUUGACACACAUAUGUAUCUCAAUAAGAUCUACAAAAAAGUCAGUGCGGCCGUAUCUGUCAAAAUUACGGUUAAAGGGUUAUUUCGCAUUUUUUGCCGAUCCGCACACAUUGGAAUUUCGCUAACUCCUCCGAAGGCUUUCGUUCCACCGGCACCACAUUUGCUCAGGCCAAUCUACACCCCGUGGCCAUUAAAAGUUAUCAAAAUCAUGACGCUGCACCCCAAGGUUUAGGUUCUAGGGGGCGCCAAAGAUAACACUAAAAUCCACAUAUUUAGAAGUCUUAUAACUUUUUAUUUUUGCCCUCACUGGCCUCCAAGUUUUCUAGGAUGAUGCAAUGUCCAGCCAUCAACACAUUUGUGAAGGAAUUUUUACUCCCCAAAAGAGCACCCCCCCAUGGCAGGAGAAAAAAGUCCAUUUUUUCUUGUCCCCUAAGGUGAAAAUACACAUUGUUGAGUGUCACGCCUAUACGCUUUGUCAAAAUGACACAAAAAUUGACACACACAUGUAACUCAAUAAGAUCUACGAAAAAGUCAAUGCGUGCGUAUCUGUCAAAUGUACGGUUAAAGGGUUAUUCCGCAUUUUUUGCCGAUCCGCACACAUUGGAAUGUGGCUAACUCCUCCUAAGGCUUUCGUUCCACCGGCACCACAUUUGCUCAGGCCAAUCUACACCCCAUGGCCAUUAAAAGUUAUUCAAAUCAUGACGCUGCACCCCACGGUUUAGGUUCUAGGGGGCGCCAAAGAUAACCCUAAAAUCCACAUAUUUAAAAGUCUUAUAAAUUUUUAUUUUUGUCCUCACUGGCCUCCAAGUUUUCUAGGAUGAUGCAAUGUCCAGCCAUCAACACAUUUGUGAAGGAAUUUUUACUCCCCAAAAGACAGCCCCCCAUGGCAGGAGAAAAAAGUCCAUUUUUUCUUGUCCCCUAAGGUGAAAAUACAUAUUGUUGAGAUUCACACCUAUACGCUUUGUCAUAUUGACACAAAAUUUGACAAUCACGUGCCUUGCCUGGUAUCAUUUUUUUCAGCACAACCUCACCUGUGCGAAUUUACAGUUAUUUUAUCAUGUUGACAUACUGAAUUUACACAAUGGACCCAAAUUCACACACAAAACAUAAAAUCCGAGUGGAAAAAAGUAAAAUUUUUACUGUGAAAACCACAAAUAUGUGUGAUGAACUGUUUUUAAAACUUAAACUUCAAAUAAAAAUUGUAAACUUCAAAACAUAUGCAAAUUUUUAACAAAGAACAUAGUGAUUUACCUCUAUUUACAUCAAAAUGCAGGCAAUGGCCCAGGCGUUCUUUGUAAAAUUAUUUACAAAACACUGUAUAGUCUCACAAAUGUCACUUUUUAUUUAUGCCACUACAAAAAAACAUGAUGUAAAUGAUGCAUGAUGUAAAACAUGAUGUAAAAAACUUGUGUAGAUCCUCCUCUAUGUCAGUCCAUGUGUAAUUUUUCCAUAAUUCUUUGUUUUUUGCAGCAUUUUUGUUAGUGUAACUGCAGAUUGUGCUGACAGUGUCUAUGGCACAAAAAAAAUAAUAAAUUAAAAUGCCUCAACAUGAACCCCUGGUGGUCUCUGAGGGUGAAACCUGCUAACUGCUGCAGCUCUGUCAGCUUCAGUCUCCCAUGCAGAGCUCUGAGCGCAUGUGUGGCUCUGCACCCUUAGCAGCGUUGCUAACUCCUCAGUAAGGAAAGCCUGCUUCAUGUCAGAGUCUCUAAACUCCAGAAGAAGUCGAUAAAAGUCCCUUUCUUUCUAAAAAAAGUCGUUAGGGGGUCUGAAAAGUCAUUGAAUCUAACAACAAAGUCGCUAGGUUUGCAACUACGUGUCCCAGACUGCAUCCCU